Molecule: ribosomal RNA, 625 nt
Filed under: Cutaneotrichosporon moniliiforme
Lineage: Eukaryota; Fungi; Basidiomycota; Tremellomycetes; Trichosporonales; Trichosporonaceae
Description: eukaryotic LSU rRNA
Rfam family: Eukaryotic large subunit ribosomal RNA
Source: RNAcentral
UAAGCGGAGGAAAAGAAACUAACAAGGAUUCCCUUAGUAACGGCGAGUGAACCGGGAAAAGCUCAAAUUUGUAAUCUGGCUGUCUUCGAUAGUCCGAGUUGUAAUCUAUAGACGUGUUUUCCGUGCUGGACCGUAUCUAAGUCCCUUGGAACAGGGUAUCAAAGAGGGUGACAAUCCCGUGCUUGAUACGACCACCAGUGCUCUGUGAUACACGCUCUACGAGUCGAGUUGUUUGGGAAUGCAGCUCAAAAUGGGUGGUAAAUUCCAUCUAAAGCUAAAUAUUGGCGAGAGACCGAUAGCGAACAAGUACCGUGAGGGAAAGAUGAAAAGCACUUUGGAAAGAGAGUUAAACAGUACGUGAAAUUGUUGAAAGGGAAACGAUUGAAGUCAGUCGUGUUCUUUGGAUUCAGCUAGUUCUUCUAGUCUACUUCCUUUGAACGGGUCAACAUCAGUUUUGUCCGGUGGAUAAAGAUAGUAGGAAUGUAGCUCCCUCGGGAGUGUUAUAGACUAUUAUUGCAUGCACUGGGUGAGACUGAGGACUGCAGCUCGCCUUUUGGCCGGCCUUCGGGUACGUUCGAGCUUAGGAUGUUGACAUAAUGGCUUUAACGACCCGUCUUGAAACACG